Molecule: long non-coding RNA, 267 nt
Organism: Macrobrachium nipponense
Lineage: Eukaryota; Metazoa; Arthropoda; Malacostraca; Decapoda; Palaemonidae
Exons: 3
Source: RefSeq, a predicted model, not a curated record
UUCGAACAUUCCACCUCGGGUUUCCGGCGUCCAUUAUUGAUGACGUCAUCAAAGAAAAUUUAAAAGUCUGUGAAAACUGUUUUCGUUACCUCCUGGUGAUGGAGCUUUAGUCUACAGAUUUUUGCGAGGAUUUGAUUCCUGAUAUUUGCCGGUGACGAGAUUACCGGAACCUGUAACAAAAGUCUACUUGGAAAGUGCCAUCCUUUUCGCGUUGCCAACAUCUACGGAAGACAAAAUUGAGGCUGACUACAUCAUUGAUUUAAAGAU